This 301-nucleotide ribosomal RNA is filed under the name uncultured bacterium. RNAcentral describes it as "partial 16S ribosomal RNA". It matches the Rfam family "Bacterial small subunit ribosomal RNA", at positions 509 to 807 of the family's 1533-position model. The record is from RNAcentral.
CAGCAGCCGCGGGAAUACGAAGGGGGCUAGCGUUGCUCGGAAUGACUGGGCGUAAAGGGCGCGUAGGCGGAUUGCGCAGUCAGAUGUGAAAUUCCUGGGCUUAACCUGGGGGCUGCAUUUGAGACGCGUAGUCUAGAGUGUGAAAGAGGGUCGUGGAAUUCCCAGUGUAGAGGUGAAAUUCGUAGAUAUUGGGAAGAACACCGGUGGCGAAGGCGGCGACCUGGUUCAUAACUGACGCUGAGGCGCGAAAGCGUGGGGAGCAAACAGGAUUAGAUACCCGGGUAGUCCCUGUCUCUUAUAC